Molecule: ribosomal RNA, 253 nt
Filed under: uncultured bacterium
Lineage: Bacteria
Description: partial 16S ribosomal RNA
Rfam family: Bacterial small subunit ribosomal RNA
Source: RNAcentral
UACGUAGGGUGCAAGCGUUAAUCGGAAUUACUGGGCGUAAAGCGUGCGCAGGCGGUUAUGCAAGACAGAUGUGAAAUCCCCGGGCUCAACCUGGGAACUGCAUUUGUGACUGCAUGGCUGGAGUGCGGCAGAGGGGGAUGGAAUUCCGCGUGUAGCAGUGAAAUGCGUAGAUAUGCGGAGGAACACCGAUGGCGAAGGCAAUCCCCUGGGCCUGUCCUGACGCUCAGGCGCGAAAGCUAGGGGAGCAAACAGG